RNAcentral lists this ribosomal RNA (519 nucleotides) under uncultured archaeon. RNAcentral describes it as "bacterial SSU rRNA". It matches the Rfam family "Archaeal small subunit ribosomal RNA", at positions 391 to 912 of the family's 1478-position model. The record is from RNAcentral.
GCACAAUGUGCAAUCUUUUCUUGACUGUUAAUAGGUCUUGGAAUAAGGGGCGGGAAAGACCGGUGCCAGCCGCCGCGGUAAUACCGGCGCCUCAAGUGGUCGUCGCUUUUAUUGGGCCUAAAACGUCCGUAGCCUGUUUGGUAAACCCGUGGGUAAAUCAACAUGCUCAACAUGUUGACUUCUGCGGAGACUGCCAGACUAGGGACCGGGAGAGGUGUGGGGUACUCAUGGGGUAGGGGUAAAAUCCUGUCAUCCCAUGAGGACCACCUGUUGCGAAGGCGCCACACUGGAACGGAUCCGACGGUCAGGGACGAAGCCUAGGGGCACGAACCGGAUUAGAUACCCGGGUAGUCCUAGGUGUAAACGCUGUGGACUUGGUGUUGGGGAUCCGACAUGGGUCUCCAGUGCCGCAGCGAAGGUGUUAAGUCCACUGCCUGGGGAGUACGGUCGCAAGGCUGAAACUUAAAGGAAUUGGCGGGGGAGCNCUGCAACGGGAGGAGCGUGCGGUUUAAUUGGAUU